UGGGGAAUAUUGGACAAUGGGCGCAAGCCUGAUCCAGCAAUGCCGCGUGUGUGAAGAAGGCCUUCGGGUUGUAAAGCACUUUUGUAGAAGAAGAAACGGUUUGCGUUAACACCGUAAACAAUUGACUGUACUCUACGAAUAAGCACCGGCUAACUCUGUGCCAGCAGCCGCGGUAAGACAGAGGGUGCAAGCGUUAAUCGGAAUUACUGGGCGUAAAGCGCUCGUAGGUGGUUGCUUAAGUCGGAUGUGAAAGCCCUGGGCUUAACCUGGGAAUGCCAUUCGAUACUGAGCGACUAGAGUGGGGUAGAGGAAAGUAGAAUUUCAGGUGUAGCGGUGAAAUGCGUAGAUAUCUGAAGGAAUACCAGUGGCGAAGGCGGCUUUCUGGACCCAAACUGACACU
RNAcentral lists this ribosomal RNA (400 nucleotides) under uncultured bacterium. RNAcentral's name for it is "bacterial SSU rRNA". It matches the Rfam family "Bacterial small subunit ribosomal RNA", at positions 355 to 747 of the family's 1533-position model. The record is from RNAcentral.